ACCCGAUGCGUACGGGAAAUAACGUCAUAAUAAUAUUGGUACCCAUGGCAACUAGAUUCCAGCAACACCACCACAUCUUGAAGGCAAGAUGGAGGAUAUCUGUACUGCACCUCCUGGGUCUAUACUCCACUACUGUGGCGUCAGCGGCACAGCUACUAGUGUUGAGCUUACUAUUUAGUGUCUCUGUCUCUCUCAAGCUUAUGCUUCAGUACUGACGUCAUCAAGUAUUUCAUUGAAUCCAAUUCAAGUUUCAAGCUAUGAAGUAUCAAGAGCAAAGGACUAUUUUAUGCAUGACCAAACAUUGUUGUAUUGUUGUGUGUUAUUUAUUUCUUUAAAUUGCCAAAAAAUAUUUU
This 353-nucleotide long non-coding RNA is filed under the name Amphimedon queenslandica. RNAcentral's name for it is "uncharacterized LOC109585836, transcript variant X2". Lineage: Eukaryota; Metazoa; Porifera; Demospongiae; Haplosclerida; Niphatidae. The record is from RNAcentral.